GAAAUGAUAAGAAAUAAAUUGUGACUAGUACUUUCUGGUUUGAUGAAGAGGAAGAUGCUGUUUGUUGGAGUGAGCUGAUAAGUUUGGGUAUAGAUUUUUCCGUCCAGAUAUAGUCUAAUGUUGAUGUAGCCAUUUUUUGGUUGAAAGAUAAGUUGGAGAAUGGGAUUAGACGGUGAAUGAUUAAUGGAAAAUAACCUAGUAAAUUAGAGAAGUUGUGAUGAUAUGUGUUUGGGUAGAGUUUUAGAUAAAGUGUUAUAGAGUUGAGUUCUAUUGCGAUGACAAAUCCUGUAAGUGUAAUAAUUAGGGCUGUGAGUUUAAUAAUGGUUGGUAUAGUUAUAGUUGGAGUAUUGAUUGGGUCAAUGAAAUUUGAAAUAAUAUAU
Dipodomys ordii (Ord's kangaroo rat) is the source of this 380-nucleotide long non-coding RNA. RefSeq lists it as uncharacterized. The record is from RefSeq and is a predicted model, not a curated record. The transcript is spliced from 3 exons. Lineage: Eukaryota; Metazoa; Chordata; Mammalia; Rodentia; Heteromyidae.